AAAAAGAUAAGCUAAAAUUAAGCUAAUGGGUUCAUACCUCAUUUAUAAAGACAUUCUUUUCUUUUUA
RNAcentral lists this transfer RNA (67 nucleotides) under Phyllotreta tetrastigma. Its description in RNAcentral is "tRNA-Met". The record is from RNAcentral. Lineage: Eukaryota; Metazoa; Arthropoda; Insecta; Coleoptera; Chrysomelidae.